UUUACAUUACAGAAGUAAAAGUUUUACCAAAUUUACAUGACUUGGAUUCGAAAUUCAAGGAUAAUUACAAAAACAAUACAAUUUACAAAAAGUAGGACUUACUUCUCUUAUGGAGAGGUGGGAGGGUUUCAAGUUAGGUUUCAAAGUAGGUUGUGCCACUGCUGCACAUUUUCAAGACAUCUAGUGGAGAAAUAACCAACUCAGAAACAUUUUCAUGGUAAUAUCAGCUGCUUCAUUUCAGGUUUGGCGUCUACUGAGAUAGGUCUUGUUAAAAUUACACUCCCGAUGUCGUGUGGUUUUACCUGGUAUUUAGCGUAGGUUUUCCAUUUUAUCCAAUAGGUCCACUUUAAAGUAAACUGAUACUUAGUUAAAAGUACCAUGGCACUAAUUUGUUUCUAACAAAUAUUGUACCAUACUUAUUCAAAAAUUUUCCAAGUUGAAGCAUGGAUUGACUUUGCCAGCACGUAUUUCAUCUUGUUUAGUCUUAUGCCUCCAAUUUUUAAACCAAUGGCACUCUUUAAAGAAAACAGCUCUUCAUGUUCUUUUCCUGGUUUCUUGAAGGUCUCAGAACUGUGCCCGAUGUGCUGUGAUGGCCACAGGACCUUUUUGUGACAAAAUGCAAUGCCACAGAUAUUUUGUUGCCACUGUAAAUUAAAGAUGUCUAGUGCCACUCUUGUCUUCAUGAAUUGCUAGCUCAAACGUAAGAGAUGUUGGUCUUGUCAUUGUGUUCAUUGCUGGCUGUGUUUGUCACAUGGUGAAGGCAACUGUUAAAAAUGAAAACAACAAAAUUCAAUUAUUUA
This is a long non-coding RNA of Daphnia magna, 800 nucleotides long. RefSeq lists it as uncharacterized. The record is from RefSeq and is a predicted model, not a curated record. The transcript has 2 exons. Lineage: Eukaryota; Metazoa; Arthropoda; Branchiopoda; Diplostraca; Daphniidae.